RNAcentral lists this ribosomal RNA (1317 nucleotides) under Escherichia coli O96. Its description in RNAcentral is "partial 23S ribosomal RNA". It matches the Rfam family "Bacterial large subunit ribosomal RNA", at positions 1624 to 2916 of the family's 2925-position model. Lineage: Bacteria; Pseudomonadati; Pseudomonadota; Gammaproteobacteria; Enterobacterales; Enterobacteriaceae. The record is from RNAcentral.
GCAUCAGGUAACAUCAAAUCGUACCCCAAACCGACACAGGUGGUCAGGUAGAGAAUACCAAGGCGCUUGAGAGAACUCGGGUGAAGGAACUAGGCAAAAUGGUGCCGUAACUUCGGGAGAAGGCACGCUGAUAUGUAGGUGAAGCGACUUGCUCGUGGAGCUGAAAUCAGUCGAAGAUACCAGCUGGCUGCAACUGUUUAUUAAAAACACAGCACUGUGCAAACACGAAAGUGGACGUAUACGGUGUGACGCCUGCCCGGUGCCGGAAGGUUAAUUGAUGGGGUUAGCGGUAACGCGAAGCUCUUGAUCGAAGCCCCGGUAAACGGCGGCCGUAACUAUAACGGUCCUAAGGUAGCGAAAUUCCUUGUCGGGUAAGUUCCGACCUGCACGAAUGGCGUAAUGAUGGCCAGGCUGUCUCCACCCGAGACUCAGUGAAAUUGAACUCGCUGUGAAGAUGCAGUGUACCCGCGGCAAGACGGAAAGACCCCGUGAACCUUUACUAUAGCUUGACACUGAACAUUGAGCCUUGAUGUGUAGGAUAGGUGGGAGGCUUUGAAGUGUGGACGCCAGUCUGCAUGGAGCCGACCUUGAAAUACCACCCUUUAAUGUUUGAUGUUCUAACGUUGGCCCGUAAUCCGGGUUGCGGACAGUGUCUGGUGGGUAGUUUGACUGGGGCGGUCUCCUCCUAAAGAGUAACGGAGGAGCACGAAGGUUGGCUAAUCCUGGUCGGACAUCAGGAGGUUAGUGCAAUGGCAUAAGCCAGCUUGACUGCGAGCGUGACGGCGCGAGCAGGUGCGAAAGCAGGUCAUAGUGAUCCGGUGGUUCUGAAUGGAAGGGCCAUCGCUCAACGGAUAAAAGGUACUCCGGGGAUAACAGGCUGAUACCGCCCAAGAGUUCAUAUCGACGGCGGUGUUUGGCACCUCGAUGUCGGCUCAUCACAUCCUGGGGCUGAAGUAGGUCCCAAGGGUAUGGCUGUUCGCCAUUUAAAGUGGUACGCGAGCUGGGUUUAGAACGUCGUGAGACAGUUCGGUCCCUAUCUGCCGUGGGCGCUGGAGAACUGAGGGGGGCUGCUCCUAGUACGAGAGGACCGGAGUGGACGCAUCACUGGUGUUCGGGUUGUCAUGCCAAUGGCACUGCCCGGUAGCUAAAUGCGGAAGAGAUAAGUGCUGAAAGCAUCUAAGCACGAAACUUGCCCCGAGAUGAGUUCUCCCUGAGACUUUAAGUCUCCUGAAGGAACGUUGAAGACGACGACGUUGAUAGGCCGGGUGUGUAAGCGCAGCGAUGCGUUGAGCUAACCGGUACUAAUGAACCGUGAGG